This is a non-coding RNA of Daphnia pulex (common water flea), 71 nucleotides long. The record is from Rfam. Lineage: Eukaryota; Metazoa; Arthropoda; Branchiopoda; Diplostraca; Daphniidae.
UUAUUGAUGGUUCAGUGGUAGAAUGCUCGCUUACCACGCGGGCGGCCCGGGUUCGAUUCCCGGUCGAUGCA